Molecule: non-coding RNA, 418 nt
Filed under: Pongo abelii (Sumatran orangutan)
Lineage: Eukaryota; Metazoa; Chordata; Mammalia; Primates; Hominidae
Source: RNAcentral
UUUCACCUACACUCUCUCCAAUCCUUCCAAGAAACUCACAAAGCAGGGCUUUUUCUUGAACUUCUCUUCCUCACAACAGUUAAAUCAUCCAUUUAAAGAUGUCAGACAAGCUCUGUGUUCUAAGAACUGUUUACUGAGCUCUAUGGAGACAUAGCUACAAGCACCACAUGCUGGACCCCUGAAUAUGGAGGGCCAACUACACUAGAAACACACAUGCUAGCUGGGAAAGAUGCUGGCUUAAGGAGAUCACCAGUUUGUAGUAGAGGCCCACUCUAGGAAGGUUUGGUAAAAAGCUGUUUUGAAUCAUAAUGUUGGCUUUAUUGGCAUGUUGAAACCAUUUACCUCUGUAAUUUUCCAUUUGUUUUCCUUUCCAACUACCACUCCUCCUGCCUGAUAAAUAAAUACCAUUGCAAGAUUA